CGUAGGUGGCAAGCGUUAUCCGGAAUUAUUGGGCGUAAGCGCGCGUAGGCGGUUUCUUAAGUCUGAUGUGAAAGCCCACGGCUCAACCGUGGAGGGUCAUUGGAAACUGGGAGACUUGAGUGCAGAAGAGGAAGUGGAAUUCCAUGUGUAGCGGUGAAAUGCGCAGAGAUAUGGAGGAACACCAGUGGCGAAGGCGACUUUCUGGUCUGUAACUGACGCUGAUGUGCGAAAGCGUGGGAUCAAACAGGAUU
RNAcentral lists this ribosomal RNA (251 nucleotides) under uncultured bacterium. RNAcentral's name for it is "partial 16S ribosomal RNA". It matches the Rfam family "Bacterial small subunit ribosomal RNA", at positions 526 to 779 of the family's 1533-position model. The record is from RNAcentral.